RNAcentral lists this long non-coding RNA (249 nucleotides) under Lathyrus oleraceus (garden pea). Its description in RNAcentral is "Pisum sativum (pea) long non-coding RNA (PSAT_LNC002738)". The record is from RNAcentral. Lineage: Eukaryota; Viridiplantae; Streptophyta; Magnoliopsida; Fabales; Fabaceae.
UAGUCCAACGUUGUUCUUGUUCUCGACAACCUCUACAAUACGACCCUAUUUGCCAAUGCUGCCAGGUUGAAUAGCCUCUUGUACAUCUUUCAAAGAAGAAAUGGGUGCCCCAAUUUUCUUCAUCUCAUCAGCAAUAGGUAAGGCUUGGAACGGUGUUCCAACAUCCUCUUCAGCAUCUACGUAUGUGAAAGAUGACAAGUGGCUCACCAACAAUGCUUUUCUCCACCAACAAUGAUAAGCUUGUCGUUG